Osmerus eperlanus (European smelt) is the source of this 442-nucleotide long non-coding RNA. RefSeq lists it as uncharacterized. The transcript is spliced from 2 exons. NCBI's taxonomy places the organism in Eukaryota, Metazoa, Chordata, Actinopteri, Osmeriformes, Osmeridae. The record is from RefSeq and is a predicted model, not a curated record.
UAAAGUUUGGUUGUAUUUCACAAGACAAAAUGACAACAACGCCACUUUUAACGCGUGUAAAAAGUAUUUCGUCGAAGGGAGGAAAUACUACAAAUAUGAAGAAGCAUUUGAACACACAGCAUGGAAUGAAGUUACUGGAACGUCAUGUGUUCAAUGCAUGCAGCAGCGCAGCUAACGUUCGCGCUUCAUCUCUAACUAUCUAAGUUUGUCCAUGCUAUCAAGUGCGCGACCCUCCACCACCCCGUCGCCGCCCGGUUCCUGUCUCAGUCUUCGGCUCGAUUGGUCGUCGGCAGCCGCCACCGCCACCAGUGUCUGGACUCCGUGGGGGAUUCUUCUUCGGGCGUUGGGCAGGCGCCCGUUGAUCUUAUAUAAUUCCCUGUGGGGUUCAAGCUCCAAACACCAUAGUACAUUUAUUAGUCUGUAAUAAACAUCUUUCACUCAU